RNAcentral lists this ribosomal RNA (371 nucleotides) under uncultured bacterium. RNAcentral's name for it is "bacterial SSU rRNA". It matches the Rfam family "Bacterial small subunit ribosomal RNA", at positions 527 to 896 of the family's 1533-position model. The record is from RNAcentral.
AGAGGGGGCAAGCGCUGUUCGGAAUUACUGGGCGUAAAGGGCGCGUAGGCGGCCCUCUAAGUCGAACGUGAAAUCCCUGGGCUCAACCCAGGAACUGCGUCCGAGACUGGAGGGCUAGAAUCCGGGAGAGGGAUGUGGAAUUCCAGGUGUAGCGGUGAAAUGCGUAGAUAUCUGGAGGAACAUCGGUGGCGAAGGCGGCAUCCUGGACCGGUAUUGACGCUGAGGCGCGAAAGCCAGGGGAGCAAACGGGAUUAGAUACCCCGGUAGUCCUGGCCCUAAACGAUGAAUGCUUGGUGUGGCGGGUAUCGAUCCCUGCCGUGCCGAAGCUAACGCAUUAAGCAUUCCGCCUGGGGAGUACGGUCGCAAGGCUG